UCGUUUCUCUCGACUGCUCUCAAGACUCUGACUGGCUUAAGCAUCAGAGGGUCCCCCACUAAAAUACCUCUGGCGCAUGUGAAUUUCCUUUAUAGAUAUCCUCUGGCAUAGCGGAUCUCGAGCGAUAUCCAGCUCCAACCACAUUAGCACCUUUUCGAAGUUUUAUGACAACAGAUUGAUGUACUAAAAGAAGGGCUAGGCUCCUUUG
Molecule: long non-coding RNA, 208 nt
Filed under: Elaeis guineensis (African oil palm)
Lineage: Eukaryota; Viridiplantae; Streptophyta; Magnoliopsida; Arecales; Arecaceae
Description: long non-coding RNA (EGUI_LNC014414)
Source: RNAcentral